This 636-nucleotide long non-coding RNA is filed under the name Helianthus annuus (common sunflower). Lineage: Eukaryota; Viridiplantae; Streptophyta; Magnoliopsida; Asterales; Asteraceae. The record is from RNAcentral.
UGCGAGUUUCUCUACGAUUUGGUCUAUGAAAGGCAAGGGGAAAUGGUCCUUCGAAGUUGCAGCAUUCAACUUCCGGUAGUCAAUGCAAAUCCGCCACCCGGUUACCGGCCGAGUGGCAAUCUUUCAAUGAUUAAAGGUUUAAAACAAUGACAUCCUAGAAUUUAAUCCCAGUUGUUGAUGAACAAACCAAAUAAUUGAUGAACACGAAUGAAUACGAUAAUCAAAUAAUGUUUAAUCAAAACAAAAACAAUAGGAACGACUAACCGAAAGUUUAAUCGAAUCCUAAUCCAAAAAGUUGUAACAAUAAGCAAACCAACGUUUCGUACAUAAACCCUAACCCCGAAGAUGAUCACAGGUGGUUUAGCCACUCAUGCUCUUGAUUUGAUCUUCAAUCUUGAUGAGAAAUUGCAUGAUUGAUGAUUAGGAGAUGAUUGGAAGGUGUGGAAUUGUGGAAGAAUGCCCCAAAAUCCCCUAAUGGUCUCCCCAAAAUCGUCACCGGUCGAAUGGAAUAAAAGAUCCCCAUAAAAACCUAAUUUUCGCAUAUUAAACCUGAUUUCCGUAACCCCUGAACCGUAGGCUACUGUCAGAUCCGUAGGCUACUGUCGGCAGCCUAUUCACAUAACUGUUUUCUUCAUA